CACGUAGGGGGCGAGCGUUGUCCGGAUUUAUUGGGCGUAAAGAGCUCGUAGGCGGCUCGGUAAGUCAGGUGUGAAAACUCUAGGCUCAACCUAGAGACGCCACCUGAUACUGCCGUGGCUAGAGUCCGGUAGGGGAGCAUGGAAUUCCCGGUGUAGCGGUGGAAUGCGUAGAUAUCGGGAAGAACACCAGUGGCGAAGGCGGCUCGCUGGGCCGAUGCUGACGCUGAGGCGCGAAAGCGUGGGGAGCAAACAGG
Molecule: ribosomal RNA, 254 nt
Filed under: uncultured bacterium
Lineage: Bacteria
Description: partial 16S ribosomal RNA
Rfam family: Bacterial small subunit ribosomal RNA
Source: RNAcentral